GUCAAAAUGCCCGAUUUUCUGUCCCAGUCCAGCCCUGCAGGUUAUACUGGCAGUGUCACCAUGCCAGCUGAAUGUAUUUCAUCAUCAGCCAGUGCUGUUCUUUAUCAAUAUUACCAAAGUUUACCAUAAGGCAGCAUAGAAAGUAUUUACUUGCUUUCAGGUUUUAUUCAAAUGUUAGUCUUUUCAGUUGUUUCUCCACUUUUUUCCUGUUUCAAAAUCAAACACCAGUUUGUGAGAAGAUUAUCUUCUUUUUUUAACAGGCAGAGAAAGUUUUGCAUUGACAUUGGCUAAUUUGUCAAUUGUUUGUUACAAAUGUUCGUAUUUUAAUAUUCAAAAAUGUUUUUGCCCAAAACAUAUGUGCACUACAUGUCAGUAAAAAUGCUAUGCAAAUAUUGCUGUCCUUGAAUGCUGAGUAAACACUGACAAAGCACUGAUUGUAUCUCUUGUACUUUAUCAACACAGUAUCUAAAAACUUUGCACCGUAGUGGUUAAAAUCUCAUUCUAAUAAGAGUUAAAAGUGCAUUUGGUUAUUAGGUUUAUAGGAUUAUUGAAUUAUGGUUAAUGGUUGGUAGAAUUUUUUUUUUUUUUAAACAUUAUCUGCCAAUUAAAUCUGCCAUCCUUCUCCAAAUCUGUGCCCCUACCUGGCCCCCCCAACAAAAAUUUUCUAGACACGCCACUGGUCGGAACUGUAUGCGCAGUCGCACUAAGGACAGAUGUGCUCAGAGGCAUGCCCCGUAACGUGUAUAGAGCAGUCUGUCGCGGCAGGAAUAAGUUGUACAAAGUCCAUUUAAGUUACGAUAAUACUUUGAUAAGUAUGAUAAGUGUGUUUCUAAUGUAAGGUAUGUUGCUGCGUUUGUAUUGUGAGCUAUCUGAAAACGUUUUUAUUCUGUAUUUACGUUACUUACAUCCAUGUGCUAUUUUUUAGCUAGACAUGUGUGUCAUGCAAGCUAGCAGCACCCCAUGAGAAACGGGCCGAAGUGUUUAAGUGUUUACCGGAGUUUUGCACCCUUGGCAAGCGGACUGAGGUAUGUGAUGAGAGAUGAUCUGUUG
This is a long non-coding RNA of Astatotilapia calliptera (eastern happy), 1050 nucleotides long. The record is from Ensembl. NCBI's taxonomy places the organism in Eukaryota, Metazoa, Chordata, Actinopteri, Cichliformes, Cichlidae.